GCUAGUGUGGUAUAGUGGUUUGAGUGCUAGACUAUGACUAUGGAGUCCAGGGUUCAAAUCCCUGCUUGACCA
This is a non-coding RNA of Phrynosoma platyrhinos (Desert horned lizard), 72 nucleotides long. NCBI's taxonomy places the organism in Eukaryota, Metazoa, Chordata, Lepidosauria, Squamata, Phrynosomatidae. The record is from the annotation of a GenBank genome assembly.